UAAGAAGGCAACCAAGUUUCCGGAGUACGUUGCUAUGACGACCAUGACGAAAAGCCACCAGGUUCCCACAAGUAGGCGAGCACUAUCUGCAGAAGGUAGCAUCAUCCCACCUGAAAGAGAAAGUUCCUUAUGAUAAGGAACGCCUGUACAAUGAUAAUCAAUAAUGUUCUGCUUCGAAGAAUGAGAAGGUCGUAUACCUUGCUGAAGAAGGGCACCGUAGACAUACCACGUACAUUUCCAAGGUGAAUUCAAGCCUGAAGCCACAUGCACAUUCAUAUGGCAAGGACUGAACUUGUGCACAAGAAUCUUCAAACCUCCUUGGUAUAUGGGGACAUGAAGAGCAAUGCCCUGGACAACUGUCUUGGUCUGGAAGCUAGAAGACUGUACGUCUGGAUAGAUACAGGUAUUGUAAAGUUGACGAGAGUCUUCCGGUAUUCGCUAAU
Molecule: long non-coding RNA, 443 nt
Organism: Cephus cinctus (wheat stem sawfly)
Lineage: Eukaryota; Metazoa; Arthropoda; Insecta; Hymenoptera; Cephidae
Exons: 3
Source: RefSeq, a predicted model, not a curated record